RNAcentral lists this long non-coding RNA (5655 nucleotides) under Gallus gallus (chicken). Its description in RNAcentral is "lncRNA (ENSGALG00010007797.1)". Lineage: Eukaryota; Metazoa; Chordata; Aves; Galliformes; Phasianidae. The record is from RNAcentral.
ACUUGUGAGAAAAACAUUUUGAUGGUCUCUUCACCAAGGAAGGCUAAAGAGUGAUGUUUUAUUUUACCUGUGUUGAAGACCGUGCUUCUAUGAGUAGAGACAAUACCUACAUAUCUGGCUGAAAGAUUGGGAUGGAAAAGGAGAUUGACUGGAAAGAUAAGAUUUAGGAACAAAAAGUCAAGCCUGGUAGAUGACAUAGAUACUAGCUUCUUACUGCGUAAACCAAUUGUGAAGAUGCAUUUCUUAACUUAUUAAGUACUCAGAUAACAUGGAGACGAGCAUCACAAGAAAGUCCAUCAAAGUGUUAAGUUUUUGCCUCUAAAGUUCUGCCUUAAUUUAAUUAAUUAAUUAAAGUUCUGCAUUAAUUUAAUUAAUGAUUCCAGGACAGAAGGUUUCAGGACAUCUGCACACUAAGCAGUGGAGAUUAAACCAUUGCUUUCUAUUAGGGAAGAUUUAGAUUGGAUAUAAGAAAGAAUUUUUUUAUAAUAAGGGUGGUGAGGCACUGGAACAGGUUGCCCAGAGUGGUGGUGGAUGCUCCAUCCCUGGAGACAUCCAACAUCAGGCUGGAUGGGGCCCUGAGCAACUCGGUCUAGUUGUAAUGUCCCCAUUCAUUGCAGGGGAGUUAGGCCAAAUGGCCUUGAAGUGUCCCCACCAACUCAAACAAUUCUAUGAUUCUAUGAACCUAGCUGUUCUCUAGGAGAGCACAGUCCGAACAGCUACUGAGGGCUUACCACCCUGAACUAAGGCACGAUGGUUAGGAGACAUCAGAAGUUCUUUUGCUGCUGAAGAUUUACCAUUACCUACAGCUAUGAGUAGGAGCCAGUUUGGGCCCAUGUUUGCGUAGAACUUGUUGAGACACAAGAAAGUACCUUCUUUGUGGUUCCCAUUUAAAAGCAGAAGUGUAAAACAAGCCAAGAGCUCUAAAAACCCAUUUGUUCAGGAGAGUAGCCCAGUGCAAUGAUCAGAGAAGGGCUGCCUUCUGCAGGCACUACUAAAAACCCAGCUAUAGUGAGACUGCUGCCAAGCAUGGGCAUAGCCUGAGUGAGGUCUUGAAACAUUUAGAAGGGGCUUUUGCAAGGUGGACAGUCUGAAGAAAACAUCUCCAUUACUCAGAAGACCACCUGUUUGCAGGAGUUACUGGGAAUCUGGGUACAGAGUCACCCAUGGCCCAUUUGUCCUCUCACCAUUAGUUUGGUGCUGAGGUUCAGCCCUGAGCCACAUAGGUGAUAACAUAACCAAAGGAGAAAGGAAAAACCUCUUUCUUAUAGAGAUGUAUGUUAGUUUCCAGUUCUGAUUAAAUAUAUCCCAGCUGCUAGGAACAGCUGUGAAAGAUUCUUCUCCUUUGCUUUUUUUUCAAGUGUGAUGUAUUCCUCCUCUUCACCAUUGCCUGGUGACGGGGGGGGGGGGAAGAAGAGCCUCAGAUAAAAGCCUUGCUCCAGGGCAAGCAAAGAUCCCAACUGCAGUUUUGCAUAAAUCUGUCACUUGGAUUCUCUGGAGAACAACUGCAAACUUGAAAAAUAGCGUAGUGCAGCAGGCACAGGUGUGGACUCCUCUCUCUCUGUAUAUAUAUAUAUUUCAAAUAAAAGUAGCUGUGAACAACCCCCAGAACAUGACUUGCUUUCACCCAGCUUUCAGCUUUGUUAGUUCUUCUAAAACUAUCCCUGCGUUGAUAAACAUGUUAUUAGUAAACCAGAAAUGAAACGAUAAUGAGAAAAUUGUCCUGUAAAAGAAAAUUGUCCACCAUAAAAUCCACAACGACCAUCCUGCAGUGCUUCUGCUGCUUUCUACUCCCUCUAGGACAAUCUGUGAGGGAGCUUUUGCUCUCUGUUACUUUUAAAUGCAAAUACAUCCAAGAUUUGCUGGGUUUGGCUUGGGGCUGGAAGGGCGGCUUGUGAGGAAGCUCAGUAAUAUCUUUCACCCCAGGGUCAGCUUUGCAUCCCACAGUAAAUUUGGCUGCUUCACUUGAAACAAAGACACAGUGUUGUUCCAUAGACUUUUCUCCUCCAUCCAUGCACUUUCAUCCCCAAGUGCCUUGGCUCCAAGUGGCUGGAGUACAGGGGGCCAGCAGAGGUGGCUGCGUGGGCUGAGCUCAUCCAAGGCUCCCGACAGGCUCCUCUGGCCCCCCAUGCCCUACCUUUGUCCCUAAAUCUUUCAUGUUCUCAUCAAGCAGGAGGGUGUUUGGUGUUUGGUUACUGUCUCCAUUGUAAGGGAGGAAAUUGCUUUUGCAACUGCGGUCCCAGAGGCUGUACUUUUCUUUUGCAAUUAAACCCUUAUCAGACCUCACGCUGCAGUGAUAACGUUGACUGAAUAGGUGUUUGCUGACAGACAUUGACCUGCAGCCUAAAUAAUGUAAGGAAAAUGCUUUUGAGUUUUUUGGCUUUUUUAAAGUCCUUGCCUAGUUCAUGGCUGAAGCCGUAUUUGCAGUAAAUAAAGUGAAAUUAUUUAGGACUGUAUUGGGUACUACUAGCAUCUGUGUCAAAGCCACUCUCUAGGCAUGAUGGGGUGACUUUGUUGUGGGAGCACGAUCUGACAGGGCUGAAUACCAUUUUUUCACCCCAGCACUUAUGGUGAAGAGCCAGAGCACCCUGCUUGCUCUGGCAGCGGGAGAGCUAUAAUCCUACUCAGUCUGAGGAAAUGGUCCAUCCACCUAAAGGGCAGUUUUGCAUUUCAGUGCUGUUGUGUUGAAAGCCGAAUUAAUAACAAGGUUUGGCCAAGCUCUGCAAAAGUUGAAACCUGGCUUCUGGCUCAGUUUCUGUCUGACAAAGAGCAAGAUUUUUAUGUUCCUUUCAGCAGCGUUGCUUCGCAUUGCAGCACGCAAGCUGUGGGUGGCUUCUCUUCAGAUUGAGAAUACCGGUGGGUCUCGUGAGUCAUGGUGGGAGGGUGACAUGGGGUUGGAUUUUAAAAGGUGAAGAGUCAACGUUUGUGAAGCUUCUACAGCCUAUGCAAUUAAUUUGUAACAACAGAGCUAGCAUAAAUCCUACCACUGCUGCGCACAGCAGCACCUGGUGAUGUGGCUGUACGGCUGGGAGAAGUGCCAGAAAAAUAGAGGAAAGAAAUGUCACUUGUAUCUUCGUGAAGGGGAAGAAGGUGUACUUAGGGAACUGCAGGCCUGUCAGCCUCACUAUGAUCCCUGGGAUGGUGAUGGAAAGCCUAAUUCUGGAAAACAUUUCUAAGCACAUGAAGGAGAAGAAAACCUCCAGGAGUAGUCAGCAUGGCAAGUCGCACCUGUCCGAACAGAUAAGCUUCUAUAAGGAAUUCACCAGCCUGAUGGAUGAAGGAGGAGCAGAGGACAUUGUCUUCCCAGUCUUCCUUAAGGCCUUUGACACCGAUCCCCAUAAGGUCCUAGGGCUGAGGAGUCAUGAUGGACAUCAAGAUGAACUUGAGGCAGCAAUGUGCUGUUGAUACUAAGAAGGCUCAUGGUAUUCUUGGCUGAAUUAAGGCAGUUGGCAAAGUGAUGAGUCCUAUAUGGACUGGCAGAUGCAGAGCAUUUUAUGAAGGAUGAAAAAAAUGCAAAGAAAGACAGUAAAACAUAGCUGACUCAGCAAGCUGGGAGUUGGAUUUGUGACACUGGGGUGUAAUUCCUUUCUCUGCCACUGACUUCCUGUAGCACUUUCGAUGGGGUACCAGAGGAUAAAUAAGUAAACGUAUGACUUUUUCUCAUUAUAUCCCAGAUUCCCAUUUGUAAUAUAGAGAUAACAUCAUUUUAUUUGAACACAGUGGUGUAUUAAAGCAGAGAUCCUGGGGUUUCACAGUAACAGAGUCAUAGAGACUAUAUGAAAAAAGCUCGUCUGGUUUUCUGUAGGAAAGACUACUAACAAAGAAUUUAUAACUAUCAAAUCAAGGAAAAGAAAUGCAGCAGUGAAAGGUUCAGAAUUGCUAACUGUGUGUUGAAAGGUUCAGGAAAAUGCCUGGAGUUGUGAGUAGGUGCCAGAGAAUUUAAUUAUGAUAAUAAAACUUCUAGGAAGACGUAAAAAUGCUGGAAUGAUCAAAUCAUGUUUAAUUACGAGGAACAUUUUUUGUCUUGGUAACACAGCACUGUAAGGAAUACAUGUGUUGCCUCCAGAAAUGUUAGGGGCCAGGAUGUCAUUCUUUCAGAAACAAAGCAGACAAGAACUUAAAAAAAAAGAAAAGUCAAAGAAAAGCUAAACCAAACAAAUGCCUCACAGGUCAUGGUAGAGCACCCAGAGCUUUGUAAAGAAGGCCAGGGGAAACUCCCUGAGAAGACACACUCUGCUCAGGUAGGAAUUCCUCUUUGCAAUCUUUGUAGGAACAGACAAGCCUCUUCCCUUCUUUCUUCCUGUCCUCCUGGCUCUCAUAGAUAGCUCUUUUAAAAAUGGACUUCAUGGUUGGAGCUCCUUUUCCUCAGGUAGAGCCACACUGACUCCCAAGGGCAAUGGGCAAAGUCAUGAGGCUAACAGUGCCUGCUGCAGUGGAGAGCUACACAACCUCGACUUUGCUGACAUGUUUAAAGGUUUGUUCAACAAACUCUUACUCGUUGCAAAAAAAUCAUUCAUAAAAAGUCAGCCCUGACAGCAUGUUGGCACAUGCACAACUACCUAAGCUCUCUGUGUAGGAAGUCCAGGUCACCAGUGACAGUUUAGGGCUGUGCAGUUUCAAGAUGAAUUAAUUGCCUCUUGGGUUUCCCUUGGCUCUGCAAGGCUUUUCCUGGGUUUGCACACACUGCCAGCUGCUGCACAGAAAGUCAGCAAGGAAAAAUAGGGCUGGAAGAGGAGAUACGGAUGGGCCCUGUCUAAUCCAGCUCUGGGUUGGUUUGCUUCUGGAAAUCAUGAUCCCUUUGUGCUGCAGUUUCUGUUGUGCUGUAGGCCAUUGAAAAGAAAUAAUAACAAGAACACAUGGCAAGCAAUGCAAAUGAAAGGCUUUGGUCUGUGCUGUUUGAGAGAAGGGCUGCAAACUCCACCCUGCCAAAAGGCUGCACUGGCUGGGCUUCUCAGGAACUUACCCUUAUGGCUUCAGCAAGUUCACAAACUGGGCCCACAACUGCAGCCUCUGUUGUUCCCUUAAAAAGGAAGAUUCGAUACACAGCAGUGGGAUUCCUACACACAUCAGUAUGGAAAGUGUUCUUGAUUCUUAUACCUCAUGGCAAAUAUUUCUUGUUGAAAUGACAUAUAACUCUCCAUGGGGUAACUGCUUUGUUGCAGCACAUGGCUUGUCCUCAACAUGGUACACAAAAGCCCGGAAAUGAUGAGGGUUCAGCUUCUUCCCAGGAUGCUGUCCUGAUGGAUGUUCCGAUCCCUCAGCAAUAUUUGAACACCCUUAUUCAAGCUGUCGCCUUAUUGCUCUGCUUAGGAUUCAGAAUGCUUUUCCUGGAUACUCUGCAAGAGGAUCCCUGGAGAUCCCAUGAAAGAUACAAAAUCUUUACGUUCUGUUUUCUGUCUCUUGGCUACAAGAGUGAUGCUGUUGUGUGUCUCAUAGAUCCUGGCAUUAAUUCUCAGUGGCCUUCUUUUGCUUGCUAUAUCCUAAUGUCUCAGAUAUGACUUACACCUUUACAACAAGUUCGUAGGUAAUCCAUCCCAUCAGAACAACACAAACCUCAGAGCAGCCGCCUGUUCUCAGUAUUUAUAAGCAUGUUUCAUCCAGAUUCCCAGAGCCAUUGCUUUCAAAGAGGACAACAUGAAGGCAACUUCUGUCUGUAAA